RNAcentral lists this ribosomal RNA (468 nucleotides) under uncultured bacterium. RNAcentral describes it as "partial 16S ribosomal RNA". It matches the Rfam family "Bacterial small subunit ribosomal RNA", at positions 28 to 507 of the family's 1533-position model. The record is from RNAcentral.
GACGAACGCUGGCGGCGUGCUUAACACAUGCAAGUCGAACGGAAAGGCCCUGCUUUUGUGGGGUGCUCGAGUGGCGAACGGGUGAGUAACACGUGAGUAACCUGCCCUUGACUUUGGGAUAACUUCAGGAAACUGGGGCUAAUACCGGAUAGGAGCUCCUGCUGCAUGGUGGGGGGUGGAAAGUUUCGGCGGUUGGGGAUGGACUCGCGGCUUAUCAGCUUGUUGGUGGGGUAGUGGCUUACCAAGGCUUUGACGGGUAGCCGGCCUGAGAGGGUGACCGGCCACAUUGGGACUGAGAUACGGCCCAGCCUCCUACGGGAGGCAGCAGUGGGGAAUAUUGCACAAUGGGCUGAAGCCUGAUGCAGCAACGCCGCGUGCGGGAUGACGGCCUUCGGGUUGUAAACCGCUUUCGCCUGUGACGAAGCGUGAGUGACGGUAAUGGGUAAAGAAGCACCGGCUAACUACGUG